CUCAAACUUUCUGCAGACUCCCAGUUAAGAAUCAAGGGAUCUCCAAGUCCAAACAACAUGUCCACCAAGCAGGUGCCACAACAGAACACCUCAUCACGUACCCGUCCAACGUAUGCGCCACAACAAGGUGACUCCACAGCAUCGCCUAGUUCUGGUGCUUCGAGUACUAGGUCUGUGGGUGUGCAUUGAAUAAUUAUUCUACGUCGGGGAAUAACGCUGGGACACCACAUAAUAAUGCGGCAGUUGCAUCUUCUAAUGCAACUAAAGCUGAAGCUAAAUCGAUGCAUAAACCAAUCAACAAAAGGCAAAGCAAAUAAACCUAAGGCAUGGCUCCAAAUACUUCGCAGUGGUGAAUUCCGGAUUCACAUAUAUGUUUUAAUCCUCCCGUGUGGGUUGAUGAAGAAGAAGAACAAUCUGAACAUCGUUUGGCGUGCUUUAUCUAUAAAUAAAUGCAUAUACUGGAGUCUCUAAUAGUAUGUAAGAAAUUUAAGAGGUGCGGAAAAGAUAUAUGGACCAAUCUAUUGCAUGUUUGUAGUUUGUACUUCCUUGGUGGAUUUGUUCACUGUCCUAAGUUCAUAUGUUGGUAUUGUAUUGAAUUCACGCGUAUUAAUAUAUUUGCAUUGUAUUGA
Molecule: long non-coding RNA, 629 nt
Organism: Aegilops tauschii subsp. strangulata
Lineage: Eukaryota; Viridiplantae; Streptophyta; Magnoliopsida; Poales; Poaceae
Source: RefSeq, a predicted model, not a curated record